GACCGCUUAGCUCAGUGGUAGAGCGUGUGAUUCCAGAACCGCUGUUUGCGGCGAAUCGGUGCAUCCACAAGGUCGUCCGUUCAAUCCGGGCAGUGGUCA
Molecule: non-coding RNA, 99 nt
Organism: Ceratobasidium sp. AG-I
Lineage: Eukaryota; Fungi; Basidiomycota; Agaricomycetes; Cantharellales; Ceratobasidiaceae
Source: the annotation of a GenBank genome assembly